UCAAACUUGGUCAUUUAGAGGAAGUAAAAGUCGUAACAAGGUUUCCGUAGGUGAACCUGCGGAAGGAUCAUUAACGUGUUCGUUCGGCCGCUCGGGUCGGCCCUGCACCGACGGAGACGUCGUGCUGCGGGCUCUCGGGCGAGCCUUCCAAACCAAACCCCUGUGAACCUUUGGGACGGCCGAGUCUUUGCCGGCGGAGUCGUCCCCUUUACAAACUCUUGUAUCUCAUAGAAUGACUUGCGGACCUCGUCCGCCUAAACACAUAACAACUUUCAACAACGGAUCUCUUGGCUCUCGCAUCGAUGAAGAACGCAGC
RNAcentral lists this unclassified non-coding RNA (316 nucleotides) under uncultured fungus. RNAcentral describes it as "partial contains small subunit ribosomal RNA, internal transcribed spacer 1, and 5.8S ribosomal RNA". The stretch from base 1 to 73 matches the Rfam family "Eukaryotic small subunit ribosomal RNA", at positions 1759 to 1831 of the family's 1831-position model. Lineage: Eukaryota; Fungi. The record is from RNAcentral.